RNAcentral lists this unclassified non-coding RNA (434 nucleotides) under uncultured Alphamycetaceae. Its description in RNAcentral is "sequence contains ITS1". The stretch from base 1 to 106 matches the Rfam family "5.8S ribosomal RNA", at positions 50 to 154 of the family's 154-position model. The record is from RNAcentral. Lineage: Eukaryota; Fungi; Chytridiomycota; Chytridiomycetes; Rhizophydiales; Alphamycetaceae.
GAACCGCGAUAGGUAAUGCGACUUGCAGUCCUCCGCGAAUCAUCAAAUCUUUGAACGCAACUUGCGCUCUCGGGAUAUACCUGGGAGCAUGCCUCUCUGAGUAUCGAUUUCACCCCUCAACUAGGCCUUCCUUUUGCUAAGUUCCAGUGUGCCAGUCUGGCCGGGAAUGGCGCGGGGAAUGUGUCUCUGGUUGGUGAUGCAUGAGUUGUCUCGCUUUCCAUAAGAAGCGAGUCACUUGAGGUUCAGUGGAUCGUUCUUCAACCGGGGGCUCCAACGCCUCUGCGACGCUUUGGUAGAGACACAGUUUGUGGCUUCUUUUGAGCGUUGCUGCACAGGCGUUCCUCGGGAUCCAACCGUCCAGCCCCAGGGUCUGGGGCGGGAAACUCCUCUCUGAACAAGAUCUCAGAUGAAGCAAGAAUACCCCCUGAAUUUAA